GCAUCAACAGAUGGGUUCUUUACCACUAGCACCACCUGGGAAGCCUGAAAAGGGCUCCAGAGAACAGCAAAUGCCAAAGAUCUGAGGCAAGAACAUGCCCAGCUUGAGGACGAGGCAGCGUGGCUGCGGAACAGACGCUGAGGCUAAAGGAGCUGGGAUGACAGAGAUUCCUGACACCGGGAAGAAGAGGACUAGGACUCCAGAUGUUCUUCACCUUCAUGAAACUGUCCUCGUGAAUGACGUCACCAGCAAGAAAACAUCCUAGCCACAGGGAUGGGGAGGAACUCAGACUAAGAAUGUACCUGAGUUAGGUGGGUAUGGUGUAGAUUAGGGCAGAGAAUCUCAGCCCUGCUUCCUCUCCAACAUAUCUGAGAAAGGAAAGUCACCUAUGGAAAAACAAAAUCGAAGGGAAGAUAUAUCUGGUCUCUGUGGCUUCUUCUUGGCUGGAGGUGAUGUGUGAUCCAGAUGUUAAAGCUGGAGUGUGAGAUUGAACCUGAAGAGAUCCUGCACAUGCUUAACUUCUGCUUUCUCUGAAUCUCUGCACCCUUCACAUGUCCCUCCAUAACAUUCAUCUGACUUCUCUUCUUGAGUUAACUCUGGUCCUUCCCAAGCCAGAGGGAGUCUCAGGUCUCAGACUCCUCUUCACCCCUGUUUUAUAGCUCCUUUAGUGCCCACGGAGUGUCUCACGUAGAACACAUGCUUUAAAAAUGUAUCCCCACAGCUAUAGAUUUAAAGAGAUUUAAGAGGCAUAUAAACAAUGAGGAAGGUGAAACCACAUGACUAGGGAUGCACAUUUGGGUGAUAACUUCCUGUUUCUUUAUGGUUUUAUGUCCUUUUUUUUUUUUUUUUUGGUCCUUCCUGUAAAAGUAAGGGCAGUGGUUCAUUUGGAGGGAAUAAGGAGGCCAUGAUUGGAAUUGAACACAUGCAAGUUUCUGGGUGGCUGAAGAUCUCUCUCUUGAUGUGCAUGAGUGAUGGUUACAGAGUAUUUUAUUAGUGUUUUUUUUUUAAAUUAUUGUUUUAUUUUUGCCUGUGUUGUAUCUUUGUUGCUGUGCUGGCUUUUUCUGUAGUUCUGGAAAGUCAAAGGUACUCUCUUGUUGCUGGUACUUGGGCUUCUCACUGCUGUGGCUUCUCUUGUUUGGAGCACAGGCUCUGGGGCAUAGCGGGCUUCGGUAGUUGUGGCUCCUGGGCUCUAGGGCAUAGGUUCAAUAGUCGUGGUGUACAGGCUCAGUUGCUGUGGGGCAUGUGGGAUCUUCCUGGACCAGAGAUUGAACCCACGACUCCUGCAUUGGCAGGCCAAUUUUUAACCACUGGACCACCAGGGGAGUCCUAUUUUAUUUUAAAUAUUUGUUUAUUUGGCUGUGCUGGGUCUUAGCUGUAGCAUGUGGGAUCUUAGUUCCUUGCCCAGGAUCGAAUCCCAGCCCCCUGCAGUGGGAGCAGAGUCUUAACCACUAGACCACUGGGAACUCUCUAAAGAGGAUUUUAUUAUACUUCAGUUGUUAAGGUGGUUUUCUCAGGUGAGUUUUAUAAUAUUUUUAUUGGUAUAUUCAAUGAACAAAUGAAUGAAUGGUUCUGGGCAUUGAGCAUGGUGGUUGCUAACAUCAAAAUAGAGACAUCCAGAUACUCUGUGCCCCAUGGUGGGAGCACACACCACCACCUGUGAGGUAGUCUUGCCCCAGAUUGAACCUGAAUCUGAUUACACCUCCAGAUCCAACUCCAGUUUAUAGCAUUGAGGAACAUUGUAAAUGCCAGUAUAGAAGUAUCAUCAGCAAACUCCAGACUGCAGAAACCUCUACAGGAAAAAUGAGGGGAGGAGAGAAGAUUUGCAGGGGGAACCUGUUGAUCAAAACAGACUUAAAAGGCAUGUCAGCCAAUCCCCAUAUGUGGACUUGAUGUGGCUUGUUUUAAAUAAAUUGUAAACAAAUAUUUAUAACAUAGGUAAGACAAAUUGGAAAUUUGAACAUUGAUGAACUAUUUGAUGACAGUAAGAAAAUCUUACAAAGUUUUUCAACCCUGAUAUUUUUGUUACUUUUUUUUUGGUAUUUUUAUUAUGAUUUUUAAAAAUAUCUUUUAGAGACAUAUAUUAAAAUAUUUACAAAUGGGGACUUCUCUGGUGGUCCAGUGGUUAAGACUCUGCACGUCCCCUGCAUGGGGGCACAGGUUUGAUCCUUGAUUGGGGAACUGAGAUCCCACAUGCCAUGUGACGUGGCCUAUAUAUAUACACACACACACAAAUGUAAUAAUAUGAUCUUGAAUUUGUAUCACAACAGUACAGUGAGGAAGUUGAAUAUGCACAUACAUGAAACAAGACAUAAAUUGGUCAUGAACUACUUGUUGAAUCUCAUUAUACUAUUUUCAGUACUUUAUUAUUGCCUUUUUGAAAACAGCUUUAUGAGGAACAACUUAUAUCAGUAAAAUCUGCCAGCUGUGAGUGUACAGUUUAAUGUAAACUUGUAGGGUUGUGCAGUCAUCCUUACGGUCCAGUUUUAGAACAUUCCCAUCACCACAGAAGGUUUCCUUGGGCCCUACCCUGCAGUCAAUGCCUGCUCCCAGUCCCAGCUGGGACUACUCCAUAGUCUGCUUUCUGUUUCUCUAAAUACGCCCUUUCCGGACAUUUCAUCUAACUGCAGUCAUGCUAGUCUUCUGUUCCUGAUUCUAGGACAUAAGUUGGAUACACUGACCUGUACCGCCCUGGCUCCCCCUCCCAUCACU
Molecule: long non-coding RNA, 2709 nt
Organism: Bos taurus (domestic cattle)
Lineage: Eukaryota; Metazoa; Chordata; Mammalia; Artiodactyla; Bovidae
Source: Ensembl